This 251-nucleotide ribosomal RNA is filed under the name uncultured prokaryote. RNAcentral's name for it is "partial 16S rRNA". It matches the Rfam family "Bacterial small subunit ribosomal RNA", at positions 525 to 775 of the family's 1533-position model. The record is from RNAcentral.
ACGUAGGGGGCGAGCGUUGUCCGGAAUUACUGGGCGUAAAGAGCACGUAGGCGGGACUUUAAGUCAGAUGUGAAAGACCGGGGCUCAACCCCGGGGUUGCAUUUGAAACUGGAGUUCUUGAGGGCAGGAGAGGGCAGUAGAAUUCCUGGUGUAGCGGUGAAAUGCGUAGAAAUCAGGAGGAAUACCAGUGGCGAAGGCGACUGCCUGGACUGACCCUGACGCUGAGGUGCGAAAGCGUGGGUAGCAAACAG